UGUUUCUCUGGAAUGUAGUCCAGC
RNAcentral lists this small nuclear RNA (24 nucleotides) under Arabidopsis thaliana (thale cress). RNAcentral describes it as "snRNA_06228". The record is from RNAcentral. Lineage: Eukaryota; Viridiplantae; Streptophyta; Magnoliopsida; Brassicales; Brassicaceae.